Molecule: microRNA precursor, 241 nt
Filed under: Amborella trichopoda
Lineage: Eukaryota; Viridiplantae; Streptophyta; Magnoliopsida; Amborellales; Amborellaceae
Description: MIR8562 microRNA precursor family
Rfam family: MIR8562 microRNA precursor family
Source: Rfam by way of RNAcentral
UUUUCUACAAAUCGGAAUGACCUGAAAUUUGGGCGUGUGUUCAUAAAAAAUAAGCUCAUCUACGAAAAAUAUAAAAAAAAAUAUUUUACAUGAAAAAAAUUGACCAAAAUACCCCCAAAAUGUUUUGGGAUGUUUUGGUCAAUAUUGUUUUUGCGAAUUAUUUUUUUUAUAUUUUUAUUAGGUGCACCUCACUAAAGUGUACAUACGCUCCAAAUUUCAGGUCAUUCCAAUUCGUAGAAAA